Molecule: ribosomal RNA, 253 nt
Filed under: uncultured bacterium
Lineage: Bacteria
Description: partial 16S ribosomal RNA
Rfam family: Bacterial small subunit ribosomal RNA
Source: RNAcentral
UACGUAGGUGGCAAGCGUUGUCCGGAUUUACUGGGCGUAAAGAGCGCGCAGGCGGUCGGCCAAGUCGAGUGUGAAAGCCCCUGGCUCAACCAGGGAGGGUCGUGUGAAACGGGGUAACUGGAGGCAGAGAGAGGCUGGUGGAAUUCCCGGAGUAGUGGUGAAAUGCGUAGAGAUCGGGAGGAACACCGGUGGCGAAGGCGGCCAGCUGGCUCUGACCUGACGCUGAGGCGCGAAGGCGUGGGGAGCGAACGGG